Molecule: long non-coding RNA, 3163 nt
Organism: Gadus macrocephalus (Pacific cod)
Lineage: Eukaryota; Metazoa; Chordata; Actinopteri; Gadiformes; Gadidae
Exons: 2
Source: RefSeq, a predicted model, not a curated record
UUUUCAUCCACCUGCUUACUACAUGCUCAUUGAGCAGAUGUUUUUUUUUUCCCCGAAGCUAACUGCAGUGAGUAGAGAUGAAAGUUGUUGAGGAGCUGUUGAUCUAGCAUCAGAUCUAGUAGGACUCUGGCUCAGGGAUGUCUUCAGGGUGGUCUGUUGAGAGUCCAGCCAGGUCACUGGACCAUCCUGCCCUCUCUCGUGACCCCAUGAGACCCGAAGUCCCCAUCGACCUGACCCAUUUGGAUCUCUUACGUUUCUGUCGGACUGGAUUGCUGCUCCAUUUCUUAGCCUCCGCUGGCUGUCGGUCACAGUGAGUCGUCUCCGUGGGCAGACUGUGAAUGAAAUGUAAAUGUAUGUAAACACCGUAACGAAGCAGUGAUUCAGAGUCAAUUUGGUUUGAAACCUGUCAUGAAUCAGCUGGGAGGCGCUAGCUUGAAAGCUGUCAUCAAUGUGCAGGAAGGGGUAUGGCAUCUUGCUCAAGGGUUCAUACAUUGAGGUUUGAACCCAGAACCCGUUGGCUGGGAGUCAAACCCAGCUAACGGAAGCUAACGGAAGCUAACAAAAGUUAACGGAAGCUAUAACCUCCCAGAAGCUCACCUAGAAAAAGCUAACAGAAGCUAACAAAAGCUAGCCAACCAGAACCUAACCUUCCAGUAAACACCAGUAGAUACCAGUAGACACCGGAAGCUAACGGAUGCUAAUCAGAAGCUAACAGACGCUAACGGACGCUAACAGUAGCUUACAGAACGUUGUAGGAGGUGAAUCUGAGCCCCCACUGGGUCUCUCCCCGGUCCGUCAGCUGUUACGUAACCCGAGGAGGGGAAGCUGUGCUCUGAGAUUAGCAGGCAGAGCUCCGGCCUGAGGAGCUAAUCUGCUUCAGUCGCAGCAUCCUGCUGUUUGUACAAAUCAACGGCGUGAUUACCUCUGAACGCAGCUCUACCGCCACACACUCGUAUCACCAGACAAACGCUUCCUGGACUGGACUUUCCUCUUUAACGCACGCGAUCACACACACUCACACACACGCAUACACACACACACACACACAGACACAUGGACAAACACAGACCAACACAUUGACACAAUCAGCCUCCAAAUGGACUCUUAUUUUCAAGAGGAAAGUCGCUGAUUUCCUGUGUGAAAAAAAAAAAUGAAAAAGUUUUCCCAGUCAACUUUCAACCCCUGCUACCCUCUGCCAUACCCCACCUCGCAAACACAUCGUCUGUUGGCUUCACCCACACCUCCUCAUCCAUCCCCUUCGCCUGUCCUCUUCCUUCCUCCCGUCCUCCGUCCUUCCCCCCAUCUCUCCCUUCGUGUGCGUUACCACACAGGGAGUGAACCUCCAGUGCCGUCUGCCAAUAAAGCCUUCCUCCAGAAAGGCUUCAGGAAGUCAGGAAACGUAGUGUACAGAGCGACUAGAAGGUGGUGGUGGAUGAGGGGGUCAACACAGGACCUUCAACCAGAAGGCGUGGUGUGUGUGUGUUUAAUUUUCAGUUUUCAUUCACAGUUUGGUUAGGUUUAGACAACCCAACUACUUUGUUAGGUUUAGACCAAACAACUACUCGGUACUUGUUUAGGUUUAGACCACACAACUUCUUGGUGAGGUUUUUAGACAACACAACCACUUGGUUAGGUUUGGUGUUAGCCAGAAAGUCUUUAAGUUUUAGCUUUAGGGUCAGGGUUAGUUUACUGUUAGUGUUAGGGUUAGUUUAGGGUUAGUUUAGUGAUGGGAUUAGGGUUAGUAUUAGUUUAGUGCUGGGGUUAGGGUGUAGUUAAGUGUUAGUUUAGUGUUAGGGUUAGGCAGAAAGUCGAAGGGUUAGUAUUAAUGGAAGUGUUUGGGUUAGUUCUCCCUGUGCAGUGUUGCCUCUGUGUUGGCUGUGGGCUGUUGAAACAGUCGUCAGUAGUAAACGUCAGGGCUCAGAGUGCUGGAUCUCUUCCUAAGUGUAUAUUUAUCCUGCUCUGACAGCCUCCCGAUUACAGCAGACCUCAAGCAGGUCCCAUCAGCGGUGCUCAUGUCGUCGCUGGGCCCAGUAGAUAUCCCACGGGUAAUGCGAACCGCAGACAUGCGUAGUAGCAUGUGAUGGCAUCGAAGCCUGCACACCAGAGCUAUGUUGAGUCGCACAUGACUUGGCCUUACUUGCUUUAUCGCCCACAACACCAACACCACUACGAGCGACAAGCGACGAGUACCGUCCAAUAAUAGCUCGCGGAUCCCACCUCCAGUUAACAAUCAACUGGAGGCCAGCAGGGUUCAGAAAUACUACAGACGAUUCCAUUCAUCUUCUGUUAAUAUCGACCAUAGACAUUGUCCUGAUGUGGCAAUGUCCAAACCAAUUAAGACUUUAACACUAGCUUAUGGAAACCGGGGGUUAAACCAGACCCCGCCAAAGCCCUAACCCGCCUCCAAGCCUGUGAAUCAGUCCAGCAUGUGGAUUGACCCAUCGUCAGCCCUCCAUCUUGACUCCCCUGGUGAUUUAUACGCUAAGGAGGUUUGGGCGUGCAGCAACAGGGCCGUUGCCCUGAGAUGCCCCAUCCCCGCGGCAGAUGUGGAUGACACCAGGGCUAACCCUUGAGCAUAGCUUCGAGAGCAUGGUUGUGCUAGCCUAGCCUCUUCAGCGUAGCUUCUGUAAGCGUCACCUCUUUAGCAUUGCAUCUUUAGCCAUAGGUCUUUAGCACAGCUUUCUAGCAUAGUCUCUGUAGCGUUUCCUCUUUAGCAUACCCUCUGUUAAGAUAAGAUAAGAUAAGAUACAACUUUAUUAAUCCCCUGUAGGAGAAAUAUGUUUGUUGCAGAACAGCCCAUCAGAUAACAUAACGUUUCUCAAGCUGCUAAAGAAGCUCAUAGCUUCUUUAGCAUAGCUUCUUUAGCAUUGAUCUUUUAGCAUAUCAUCUUUAGCAUUCCGUCUUUAGCAUAUUUUCAGAAACAGCUGUCUGAUUUUGCCCUGUUGAGUCUGCUGACGUCACCAUCUGUUGGAAAUCUCAGUCUGGUUUUAACUUGUCUUCACCUUUCCCUCCCUUUUUCCUUGACACACACACACACACACACACACACACACACACACACACACACACACACACACACACACACACACACACACACACACACACACACACACACACACACACACACACACACACACACACACACACACACACACACACACAG